Long non-coding RNA from Aegilops tauschii subsp. strangulata, 353 nucleotides. RefSeq lists it as uncharacterized. NCBI's taxonomy places the organism in Eukaryota, Viridiplantae, Streptophyta, Magnoliopsida, Poales, Poaceae. The record is from RefSeq and is a predicted model, not a curated record.
GGUUUGGAAGAAGGCAAUCCGCGAGUCCGCUCAUAGAAGGCUAGCCGCGAGUCCACGUGCAGAAGGCUAGCAGCGAACCCACUGGAAGAAGGCCAACCGAAGGAGGAGUUUCAGUUGGCGCUUUUCAAGACCAGUAAGAAGGAGAGUUUGUUUGCUGAUCGAUGCAUAGAGAUGCCAUCGUAUGUCGUGUACAAGGGUAAGGUUCCCGGAGUCUACGACGACUGGGAGGAGUGUCGGAGACAGGUUCACCGUUUCAGCGGUAACAGUUACAAAGGGUACACCACUAGGGCGGAGGCGGAAGCUAGAUAGGCGCGCUAUCUAGCGGGAGAGAGGAGGGAGCGGAGGAGGAACCG